Molecule: ribosomal RNA, 215 nt
Filed under: Vibrio parahaemolyticus
Lineage: Bacteria; Pseudomonadati; Pseudomonadota; Gammaproteobacteria; Vibrionales; Vibrionaceae
Description: partial 23S ribosomal RNA
Rfam family: Bacterial large subunit ribosomal RNA
Source: RNAcentral
GGGGGGACGGAGAAGGCUAGGUGGGCCUGGCGACGGUUGUCCAGGUUCAAGUGCGUAGGCUUAAGAGUUAGGUAAAUCCGGCUCUUUCUAAGGCUGAGACACGACGUCGAGCAUCUACGGAUGUGAAGUCAUUGAUGCCAUGCUUCCAGGAAAAGCCUCUAAGCUUCAGAUUGUAAGGAAUCGUACCCCAAACCGACACAGGUGGUCGGGUAGAG